GUCCUUGCCUUAAACUAUGUAUACUUGGUGUUGUUAGGCUCAACCCUGACAGUACCGUAGCGAACGCGUUAAGUAUACCGCCUGGGGGAGUACGCUCGCAAGGGUAAAAACUCAAAAGAAUUGAACGGGGACCCGCACAAGCAGUGGAGCAUGUGGUUUAAUUCGAUGCAACGCGAAGAACCUUACCUGGACUUGACAUGCUUUUGACCGCCGUAGAAAUACGGUUUUCUCGCAAGAGACAGAAGCACAGGUGCUGCAUGGCUGUCGU
Molecule: ribosomal RNA, 268 nt
Filed under: uncultured bacterium
Lineage: Bacteria
Description: partial 16S ribosomal RNA
Rfam family: Bacterial small subunit ribosomal RNA
Source: RNAcentral